GAAGAAAACGAACAGCAGAGAGCAGAGCCACGAAACGAAUCCAAGGAUUGCUUCCUGAUCUUCUUCUUCAUUUGGCGUUUCCAUCAAGAAAAUCCACGAUAUGCAGAAUCUGUGAGCUGUGGUUAGUUGAAGAAGACGAGGAGGAUAUAAAGUUUACGCGGUAAAAAUGGCGGCGUCGCUGAUGUUUCAGUUGCCGUUGCAGUACUAUUCCUACGCUUCUUCAUCCAUCUCGGAUCUCUCCGGUCGCCGGAAUUCCAGUUUAUGUAAACCGUAUGCGGUGGUUUUUGACCGGAAAAUCGGUCUGUGCGGUGGCGGAGAUCGCCGUAGGACGAACCGGAGGUACGGUAGUGUGAUAGUUCAGGCGGAGAAAGGCGAUGCGGCGGAGACUAGAGUGCCGGUGCCAUUGACCGUGGAACAGCAAGAGAAGAAGAGGAAAGAGAAAGACGAAGACGAUGAAGGAGAGGGAGAGGUGGAUCCUGAUGAUCUCGAAUACGUCAGCGAGAUCAAAAGGGUAUUGAAGCUUCUCAGGAAGAACAGAGACAUGCUCUUCAGUGAGGUUAAGUUGACUAUCAUGAUCGAGGACCCAAGAGAGGUGGAGAGAAAGAGGUUGCUUGGGAUAGAGGAUGCCGACGGCCCGACCAGAGAAGAUUUGGCUGAAGCCUUGGUACAGGUAAAUGAAGGAAAAGUCCCAAAAGACCAACUUGCACUUCGGAUGUUGUAUGAGGAAAUGAUCAAUUGGCCAAAUUUAGAGGUUGAGGCUCUGAAGACAAAUCGAGGAAAGUCAUUGUAUGCAAAAGCCACAGAUACGGGAAUCGAUCCAAAAGAGGCGGCCAAGAGACUAAACAUAGACUGGGAUUCAGCUGCUGAAAUCGAGGAUCCUGAUGUCAAUGACAGCAAAGAAGUUCCUGCGGCUGUGGACUAGUUUCAACUGAACUUAGAUGAAAAAACAAGGUGAUCACUCUAGCAAAAGAUGCAGUGGUUAUGGAGCGUUGUACUUAGUCACGGCUUUUCAAAUUAUCAUCGGCAUCCCUGUUGUAUUGAUCUUAUUUUACAAUUCCCUCCAGUAGUAGAACUGCUUUCCUGAUCUAUCUCAAUGUACAUUAAAACCCCGAAAUGAAAUUUUCAUUUUUUUUUUGUCAA
Tarenaya hassleriana is the source of this 1140-nucleotide RNA transcript. It is a transcript of the gene named ycf3-interacting protein 1, chloroplastic-like, with no coding region annotated. The transcript has 7 exons. NCBI's taxonomy places the organism in Eukaryota, Viridiplantae, Streptophyta, Magnoliopsida, Brassicales, Cleomaceae. The record is from RefSeq and is a predicted model, not a curated record.